RNAcentral lists this non-coding RNA (250 nucleotides) under Heyndrickxia sporothermodurans. RNAcentral describes it as "Bacillus sporothermodurans T-box sequence". It matches the Rfam family "T-box leader". Rfam says of the family: Uncharged tRNA acts as the effector for transcription antitermination of genes in the T-box leader family. T-boxes are found upstream of many aminoacyl-tRNA synthetase genes and some amino acid biosynthetic genes usually in Gram-positive bacteria. The record is from RNAcentral. Lineage: Bacteria; Bacillati; Bacillota; Bacilli; Caryophanales; Bacillaceae.
AGUAAAGCUGUGAGAGGAAAUAGUAACAAGAUUGAAUUCUCUAGAGAGUCGGUGGUUGGUGUAAACCGAUGAAGGAAGCUUGUGAAUCCAUCCUUGAGUAAAGUACUGAACGAAAUAAGGUAAGGUGGCCGCCUAAGGCGCUUUUGUCUUUCUUAUUAGUAAGUACUUUCGGGUAAAACCGUUAUCGAUUAAGUGGAAAGUAUUUAUACUUUCAAACUGGGUGGCAACGCGGGUAACUCUCGUCCCUUUU